GAUCCUCUGCCAUUCAAACAAAGGUCCCUGUCCCCUCAACACAAAAAGAUGGACAGCAGACAUAGGACAGAGAAACCCUCAUCCUUAGGCACAGUUCUACAUUUGGAAGCCACUGUGGCAUUGGAAGAUGCUGGCCAGACAUUGAGCCUCAGAUCCCUCAACUGGGAGCAUCCCACAUGGAACCACUGGUAGUAGACACGAGUCUAAACCAAAGCAGACACAACAUUAUCAAGAGAAACCCCAAGAGAGCUAUUCCCUUCAUUGCUGCAUUUAUAGCUCCAUUUAGAGCAUAGAGAAACCCAAGUUUCAGUCCCAUUCCU
This is a long non-coding RNA of Pezoporus occidentalis (night parrot), 320 nucleotides long. RefSeq lists it as uncharacterized. Lineage: Eukaryota; Metazoa; Chordata; Aves; Psittaciformes; Psittacidae. The record is from RefSeq and is a predicted model, not a curated record. The transcript has 2 exons.